UUUCCGUAGGUGAACCUGCGGAAGGAUCAUUCAUAAUAAGUGUUUUAUGGCACUUUUUUAAAUCCAUAUCCACCUUGUGUGCAAUGUCAGGGUUGAUUUUUCUCUCGAGAGGAUCAACCCCAAACAUCAACUAUAUCUCAACUCUUUGUCUGAAAAAUAUUAUGGAUACUUAAUUCAAAAUACAACUUUCAACAACGGAUCUCUUGGCUCUC
Molecule: unclassified non-coding RNA, 212 nt
Filed under: plant metagenome
Description: partial contains small subunit ribosomal RNA, internal transcribed spacer 1, and 5.8S ribosomal RNA
Source: RNAcentral